RNAcentral lists this ribosomal RNA (497 nucleotides) under uncultured bacterium. RNAcentral describes it as "partial 16S ribosomal RNA". It matches the Rfam family "Bacterial small subunit ribosomal RNA", at positions 28 to 507 of the family's 1533-position model. The record is from RNAcentral.
GAUGAACGCUGGCGGCGUGCCUAAUACAUGCAAGUCGAGCGAACAGACGAGGAGCUUGCUCCUCUGACGUUAGCGGCGGACGGGUGAGUAACACGUGGAUAACCCACCUAUAAGACUGGGAUAACUUCGGGAAACCGGAGCUAAUACCGGAUAAUAUAUUGAACCGCAUGGUUCAAUAGUGAAAGACGGUUUUGCUGUCACUUAUAGAUGGAUCCGCGCCGCAUUAGCUAGUUGGUAAGGUAACGGCUUACCAAGGCAACGAUGCGUAGCCGACCUGAGAGGGUGAUCGGCCACGCUGGAACUGAGACACGGUCCAGACUCCUACGGGAGGCAGCAGUAGGGAAUCUUCCGCAAUGGGCGAAAGCCUGACGGAGCAACGCCGCGUGAGUGAUGAAGGUCUUCGGAUCGUAAAACUCUGUUAUUAGGGAAGAACAAAUGUGUAAGUAACUAUGCACGUCUUGACGGUACCUAAUCAGAAAGCCACGGCUAACUACGUG